RNAcentral lists this long non-coding RNA (994 nucleotides) under Rattus norvegicus (Norway rat). RNAcentral describes it as "long non-coding RNA NONRATT019812". The record is from RNAcentral. Lineage: Eukaryota; Metazoa; Chordata; Mammalia; Rodentia; Muridae.
ACUCUUACCAAGCUCAGAACAGCUCAAGAUUUUAGGAAAUCAAGUGAAUUGCUGGCAAUGCUUCACAAGCAGAGGAAGGAGGAAAGAGACAGAGAUGUAGAAAAGAGGCUCAAAGGCUGCUCUCAUCAGGAGCACCUUGGUAGAGACCCUGAUGUCAGACCCACUCUGGAUGCUUCCGAAUUCCCUAAUAAGGAAGCUCAGAGAGGUGGUGGAGACUGCCCUAGGCCAGAGUUCGGCCACUUUUGUCAGACUCCACAGUGCAGCAAGCUGCUUGUUUCCAAAUUUCUGCUCUCUUAUGGUUACAACACCCCGAUUUUGUUUUUUUAAGGCAUCUUGAAUUUAUUCAGCACAACCACAGAGGUAUUGUCUUCAUGAUGUCACAUACAGACACACACACAGAUACAACACAAUAUUUAUAUUUAGCUCAAGUGUAUUGCGUCUAAGGCUCACUUAUAUGUCUUCAUGUGCCACAGCCCGUCAUUUAGAUAAUGGAUAUUCUCAAUGCCGAUCCCCUUGUUGAUCUUCUCAAUGUCUGCUGCUGCCAUCUUCAUGACUCCGACACACAGGGCAUGCUCUUUCCCUUCUGCCAUGACCGCCACGAUGGUAUCUACUGCAGCAGUGUAGAGCUUCGCUCCAGGAGAUGUUAAACCCGGACACAUGAUAUUUGCACCACUGAGCACAAAUUUGAUGGCUCCUUUGUCGACCUGCUGGUGUGGCAGGAUAAACGGGUAUUUGUGAAGUAAUCUUAGCGUUGGAUAAAAAGGUCCUUUUCUCUGCCUGAAAAACAGUAAUUCUCCGUUGACUGUAAGGAUUUCCAUGUGUUCAUGGCAUCUCACUAUUUUGACGGGAUCUUUCUUAGGCAUGAUUUGAUUAAGCCACGGCUCGAUACCUGGAAACUGCUCAGUCAGUUGGCUCUUAAUACCCUUAAUAACGGAAGUUUUCAGUUGGAUGCAGUUGGACACACUUUCUUUCUCGUCAAAUUUCUUGAACAUGA